Molecule: non-coding RNA, 204 nt
Organism: Pimephales promelas (fathead minnow)
Lineage: Eukaryota; Metazoa; Chordata; Actinopteri; Cypriniformes; Leuciscidae
Source: RefSeq, a predicted model, not a curated record
AAUGUGCUGCGGUUUUCUAAAAAGCCAUGGAAGAUUAUAAAGAUAAUUUAUAAGUUUUAUUGUUGAGGAUUGAAGACGAAUUCCCUUCUAAGUUUACCCUCUCGAGUGCAUGUGGCCAAUGAGUUCUGACGGCAAUUUGGAAAUGCAACAAGUGAACAUGUAAAGACAUGUCCGUCAUGGAAUAAAUAUGCCCGUGAAAAUCCA